This 253-nucleotide ribosomal RNA is filed under the name uncultured bacterium. RNAcentral describes it as "partial 16S ribosomal RNA". It matches the Rfam family "Bacterial small subunit ribosomal RNA", at positions 524 to 776 of the family's 1533-position model. The record is from RNAcentral.
UACGAAGGUCCCAAGCGUUAUUCGGAAUCACUGGGCGUAAAGGGAGCGUAGGCGGCGUGGUAAGUCAGAUGUGAAAUCCCGGGGCUCAACCCCGGAACUGCAUCCGAUACUGCCAUGCUAGAGGAUUGGAGAGGUAGCUGGAAUUCUUGGUGUAGCAGUGAAAUGCGUAGAGAUCAAGAGGAACACUCGUGGCGAAAGCGAGCUACUGGACAAUUCCUGACGCUGAUGCUCGAAGGCUAGGGUAGCGAAAGGG